Molecule: ribosomal RNA, 433 nt
Filed under: uncultured bacterium
Lineage: Bacteria
Description: partial 16S ribosomal RNA
Rfam family: Bacterial small subunit ribosomal RNA
Source: RNAcentral
AACGAACGCUGGCGGCAUGCCUAACACAUGCAAGUCGAACGAAGGCUUCGGCCUUAGUGGCGCACGGGUGCGUAACGCGUGGGAAUCUGCCCUUUGGUUCGGAAUAACAGCUGGAAACGGCUGCUAAUACCGGAUGAUGACGAAAGUCCAAAGAUUUAUCGCCAGAGGAUGAGCCCGCGUUGGAUUGGGUAGUUGGUGGGGUAAAGGCCUACCAAGCCGACGAUCCAUAGCUGGUCUGAGAGGAUGAUCAGCCACACUGGGACUGAGACACGGCCCAGACUCCCACGGGAGGCAGCAGUGGGGAAUAUUGGACAAUGGGCGCAAGCCUGAUCCAGCAAUGCCGCGUGAGUGAUGAAGGCCCUAGGGUUGUAAAGCUCUUUUACCCGGGAAGAUAAUGACUGUACCGGGAGAAUAAGCCCCGGCUAACUCCGUG